CCGGCAAACACCACACUCAGUGGUGGACGUGAGGGCAUACCCAGACGACCACGCACACUUCUUUUUCUCUCUCCUCUCACCUAUACCGGAAAAAAAAAAACCUAGAAGUCAUGGGGCUGUUCCCGUGUUUCAAUUGCUCAAUAUUCUGUUCGUUCCAAAGUUAGCAGGUCAAGGAGGUUUCAGAAGAUUGGAGUUGGGGUUCCCAUCUGCUGCAAAAGAAAUACAUUGAUUGAUUUUGAGGAAAGAACAAGCGCAAAUGAGCUUGUAACUCGCCUAGUUUUUUAGCAAGGCAGCACCGAAGCAGCUGAAAAUGUAGCAGAUAUCAUGUCUACUUAUUUUGUUCAAGAAGUUAUCUCAGCAUGUGUACCUCAUGUUUAUCCUUCACGGUGUGGCCACGGUUGGGCUUGUCUUCCAUUGGUUGCAUCCAGUGCCAAGAUUAGCCUUGCAAGUCAUUUACCGACAUCUUCUGCUAGAGGGACUUCUGCAAGUGAUGCCAACAGUUCCUUGGCUUCAGCUGGUAUUGCUCAGUACCAUCUUCAGUUAGACAUAAGAAAGCAUUUGGUCAAAAUUUCACCAGUUAGAGUUGUACUAGCAUGUAUCUUCGGAGCAGUAUAUUAUACAGUAGUAAUGAGUCAUCCAUCCUCAGUCCCUUGAAUGAAGAGCUGCUGCAUUCACCUGAUACUGACAGGAUAUUCUUUGAAUUCGCUCUUGAUCAGUCAGAGAGAUUUCGAACUUUGAACCGAUAGAUUCAGAUGCAGACUAAUCUUCACCGAGUUUCUGAGAUUGCUGUAACACCCAAGGAUACAGAUGAUGCUGGUGGGAUACAGAACAACAGGAAAUCAUCUGUUAAACGAUCUCGAGAGAAUGAAAUUGCGAACAACAGAGAAUGAUUUUGAUUUUCGAAUGGAUCUAAGUGAUGAAAAAGUGAAAAUCUACAUAAGUGAAUUGCGAACAACGAAGGUUAGUUGUAAUAUUUGAAUUUGGAGUUGUAUACUUGUAUUAGUGAUUUUAUGUUUUUAAUUUGAUAAUUUUAUUGCA
Long non-coding RNA from Spinacia oleracea (spinach), 1038 nucleotides. RefSeq lists it as uncharacterized. Lineage: Eukaryota; Viridiplantae; Streptophyta; Magnoliopsida; Caryophyllales; Amaranthaceae. The record is from RefSeq and is a predicted model, not a curated record. The transcript is spliced from 3 exons.